This is a long non-coding RNA of Cebus imitator (Panamanian white-faced capuchin), 834 nucleotides long. RefSeq lists it as uncharacterized. The record is from RefSeq and is a predicted model, not a curated record. The transcript is spliced from 3 exons. NCBI's taxonomy places the organism in Eukaryota, Metazoa, Chordata, Mammalia, Primates, Cebidae.
UGGAGGUAUCUUUAAUCACCCACUCCACUCACCUCAAAGGUAAGCUCUUCAAAAGCAGCCUAUAGUUAUACUGUGCUCCUACCAAAUCAUGCUUCUGGAAGCCAAAUAAGUGAAUCCAGAAAGUGAAAAUCAAACAUAACAUGUUUCACAUAAUAAAUAGUGGCAAAGUUCAGGGCAGAAAUGUGGGAGCAGCCAUUGAGCGCCACAGCUACUAAUACAGAAUAUUUGGUCAAAUCCUCUGUCUAGAUCCCCAUUGAGUAGCUAUGGGCGAUAAUGACAGACAAUUCCAGAAUCUCAUCAUGUAGUGCACGGCAAGUACAGAAAGAAACACAAGGGACCAGGAAGCCUCAGGGAAAUCUGAAGGCAGUCACUGCCUAACAUGGAAGGGCUCACAAAACAGGCUUCCUCCAGAGGUUCCUUUAAGCACAGUAAAAUUUCCCAGAACUUGAACCUGUAACUCCACAGUCUGAGACAAGAAUUUCCUCUACUCCUUUCAAGUAUAAAUGAGGCAAGAAAGCUUCAAGUUGAACUUUUCCAAUCUGAUCCCGAACUUGAUGACAACUGAAAAUACAAUGCCUGCUUUUGCUGGUAGUUCUGCUCCAACAAUCUAAAAGGCAAUCACAAAAGACACAUUGUUUCAAAUGGAAAUUCUAUCCUGAAAUAAUUCACUUCGGCACAAACUGAAAACCCAUACCCGAUUGGACCUUGACUAACCCUAACGAUUUCAAUCUCUGCAAUUUCCUGUCAAAUAUGCCAACAACUCCAGCCCAAAGUGGGAGAAGAGAUUCAACAAGAUGGGUAAAAUACUGAGAAGUCUUAAAGAUAGGUGAUAGG